GUUGUUCGCAUGAACAACGCUUAAAAGAUGGCUUCUCGCUAUCACUUCUGGAUGGACCUGCGGUGCAUUAGCUUGUUGGUGGGGUAAUGGCCUACCAAGGCGAUGAUGCAUAGCCGAGUUGAGAGACUGAUCGGCCACAAUGGGACUGAGACACGGCCCAUACUCCUACGGGAGGCAGCAGUAGGGAAUCUUCCACAAUGGGCGCAAGCCUGAUGGAGCAACACCGCGUGAGUGAAGAAGGGUUUCGGCUCGUAAAGCUCUGUUGUUAAAGAAGAACACGUAUGAGAGUAACUGUUCAUACGUUGACGGUAUUUAACCAGAAAGUCACGGCUAACUACGUGCCAGCAGCCGCGGUAAUACGUAGGUGGCAAGCGUUAUCCGGAUUUAUUGGGCGUAAAGAGAGUGCAGGCGGUUUUCUAAGUCUGAUGUGAAAGCCUUCGGCUUAACCGGAGAAGUGCAUCGGAAACUGGAUAACUUGAGUGCAGAAGAGGGUAGUGGAACUCCAUGUGUAGCGGUGGAAUGCGUAGAUAUAUGGAAGAACACCAGUGGCGAAGGCGGCUACCUGGUCUGCAACUGACGCUGAGACUCGAAAGCAUGGGUAGCGAACAGGAUUAGAUACCCUGGUAGUCCAUGCCGUAAACGAUGAGUGCUAGGUGUUGGAGGGUUUCCGCCCUUCAGUGCCGGAGCUAACGCAUUAAGCACUCCGCCUGGGGAGUACGACCGCAAGGUUGAAACUCAAAGGAAUUGACGGGGGCCCGCACAAGCGGUGGAGCAUGUGGUUUAAUUCGAAGCUACGCGAAGAACCUUACCAGGUCUUGACAUCCUGCGCCAACCCUAGAGAUAGGGCGUUUCCUUCGGGAACGCAAUGACAGGUGGUGCAUGGUCGUCGUCAGCUCGUGUCGUGAGAUGUUGGGUUAAGUCCCGCAACGAGCGCAACCCUUGUUACUAGUUGCCAGCAUUAAGUUGGGCACUCUAGUGAGACUGCCGGUGACAAACCGGAGGAAGGUGGGGACGACGUCAGAUCAUCAUGCCCCUUAUGACCUGGGCUACACACGUGCUACAAUGGACGGUACAACGAGUCGCGAACUCGCGAGGGCAAGCAAAUCUCUUAAAACCGU
RNAcentral lists this ribosomal RNA (1118 nucleotides) under Limosilactobacillus fermentum. RNAcentral describes it as "bacterial SSU rRNA". It matches the Rfam family "Bacterial small subunit ribosomal RNA", at positions 181 to 1285 of the family's 1533-position model. The record is from RNAcentral. Lineage: Bacteria; Bacillati; Bacillota; Bacilli; Lactobacillales; Lactobacillaceae.